Molecule: long non-coding RNA, 483 nt
Organism: Bombyx mori (domestic silkworm)
Lineage: Eukaryota; Metazoa; Arthropoda; Insecta; Lepidoptera; Bombycidae
Exons: 2
Source: RefSeq, a predicted model, not a curated record
GUCUGGUUAUUUCAUGAACAUUUGUUUAAAUAUUGUAAAUGUUGUCAACGUUUGUAACAGUAAUGAGUACAUUAGAAUAUCCGAUAAUUCAAUUUUAAAUCAUGUGCUCUGGUUAGGUUGAAGAGAAACGCGGUGGUUAUCUAUUUAAAGGAAUUAAACCCCCCAAAUAAAUGUUGAUAGUGUUUAAAUUUUUUUUCUGGCAAACUAAGUUUUUUAUACAUUUAAUUAUACUAGACCUCUAGUAGUAGUCGAAAUUCGACUAUAAUUAAUUGGAAUUGCUUAAGAGACACUCCUAUACGUGAUGCUAAGGCUGGCUGAUACUUUGCACAGAGAGUGAGUCUGACUGUCCCAUGAGGUAAUGCAGCCAGGAUCUUGGGAACUGUGCCUCCUUUAAGCGCAUUGGAAGAUUUGCUCUACUGUAUAAAUUGAUUUAUGUUAAAUUAUUUUGAUAUGUUAGAUUAUUAAAAAAAAAUUUAAGAGACA